Molecule: ribosomal RNA, 493 nt
Filed under: uncultured bacterium
Lineage: Bacteria
Description: bacterial SSU rRNA
Rfam family: Bacterial small subunit ribosomal RNA
Source: RNAcentral
AAAGGAAUUGACGGGGGCCCGCACAAGCGGCGGAGCAUGCGGAUUAAUUCGAUGCAACGCGAAGAACCUUACCAAGGCUUGACAUACACCGGAAACGGCCAGAGAUGGUCGCCCCGUAAGGCUGGUGUACAGGUGGUGCAUGGUUGUCGUCAGCUCGUGUCGUGAGAUGUUGGGUUAAGUCCCGCAACGAGCGCAACCCUCGUUCCAUGUUGCCAGCACGUAGUGGUGGGGACUCAUGGGAGACUGCCGGGGUCAACUCGGAGGAAGGUGGGGAUGACGUCAAAUCAUCAUGCCCCUUAUGUCUUGGGCUUCACGCAUGCUACAAUGGCCAGUACAGAGUGCUGCGAAACUGUGAGGUGGAGCGAAUCACUUAAAGCUGGUCUCAGUUCGGAUUGGGGUCUGCAACUCGACCCCAUGAAGUCGGAGUCGCUAGUAAUCGCAGAUCAGCAACGCUGCGGUGAAUACGUUCCCGGGCCUUGUACACACCGCCCGU